RNAcentral lists this ribosomal RNA (539 nucleotides) under fungal endophyte. RNAcentral's name for it is "eukaryotic LSU rRNA". The stretch from base 179 to 332 matches the Rfam family "5.8S ribosomal RNA". The record is from RNAcentral. RNAcentral also lists the same sequence under 1 other name. Lineage: Eukaryota; Fungi.
GGAGGGAUCAUUACACAAAUAUGAAGGCGGGCUGGAACCUCUCGGGGUUACAGCCUUGCUGAAUUAUUCACCCUUGUCUUUUGCGUACUUCUUGUUUCCUUGGUGGGUUCGCCCACCACUAGGACAAACAUAAACCUUUUGUAAUUGCAAUCAGCGUCAGUAACAAAUUAAUAAUUACAACUUUCAACAACGGAUCUCUUGGUUCUGGCAUCGAUGAAGAACGCAGCGAAAUGCGAUAAGUAGUGUGAAUUGCAGAAUUCAGUGAAUCAUCGAAUCUUUGAACGCACAUUGCGCCCUUUGGUAUUCCAAAGGGCAUGCCUGUUCGAGCGUCAUUUGUACCCUCAAGCUUUGCUUGGUGUUGGGCGUCUUGUCUCUAGCUUUGCUGGAGACUCGCCUUAAAGUAAUUGGCAGCCGGCCUACUGGUUUCGGAGCGCAGCACAAGUCGCACUCUCUAUCAGCAAAGGUCUAGCAUCCAUUAAGCCUUUUUUUCAACUUUUGACCUCGGAUCAGGUAGGGAUACCCGCUGAACUUAAGCAUAU